This 467-nucleotide ribosomal RNA is filed under the name uncultured bacterium. RNAcentral's name for it is "partial 16S ribosomal RNA". It matches the Rfam family "Bacterial small subunit ribosomal RNA", at positions 28 to 507 of the family's 1533-position model. The record is from RNAcentral.
GACGAACGCUGGCGGCGUGCUUAACACAUGCAAGUCGAACGGAAAGGCCCUGCUUUUGUGGGGUGCUCGAGUGGCGAACGGGUGAGUAACACGUGAGUAACCUGCCCUUGACUUUGGGAUAACUUCAGGAAACUGGGGCUAAUACCGGAUAGGAGCUCCUGCUGCAUGGUGGGGGUUGGAAAGUUUCGGCGGUUGGGGAUGGACUCGCGGCUUAGCAGCUUGUUGGUGGGGUAGUGGCUUACCAAGCUUUGGCGGGUAGCCGGCCUGGGAGGGUGGACGGGCACAAUGGGACUGAGGUACGGCCCAGACGCCUACGGGGGGCAACAGGGGGGAAUAUUGCACAAUGGGCGGGAGCCUGAGGCGGCGACGCCGGGUGCGGGAUGACGGCCUUCGGGUUGUAAACCGCUUUCGGCUGUGACGAAGCGGGAGUGACGGUAAUGGGUAAAGAAGCACCGGCUAACUACGUG